RNAcentral lists this ribosomal RNA (200 nucleotides) under uncultured bacterium. Its description in RNAcentral is "partial 16S ribosomal RNA". It matches the Rfam family "Bacterial small subunit ribosomal RNA", at positions 28 to 229 of the family's 1533-position model. The record is from RNAcentral.
GACGAACGCUGGUGGCGUGCUUAACACAUGCAAGUCGAACGGUGAAGCCCAGCUUGCUGGGUGGAUCAGUGGCGAACGGGUGAGUAACACGUGAGCAACCUGCCCCCUACUUCGGGAUAAGCCUUGGAAACGAGGUCUAAUACCGGAUAUGAGCACUUACCGCAUGGUGGGUGUUGGAAAGUUUUUCGGUGGGGGAUGGG